UGAUAUCAAAAAUAAUACUUGUGUUCACAGUCAAGGAAUUACUAGAUAUUACUAAUAAAGUUACAGGUAUACAUCUCUGCUUCCAUAACGAGCAUAUAUAGGUCUUCGAGCUUCACUUGUCACACUUAAACUAUUCCAUCGAGAACUUAUUACCUUCAUAGCUUUGGAUUCAUCGACAACAUGCUAGCUUCUGCCUUCACUGGACUGAAGAUUCAGAUUCACUGCCAUCACUUACAUCUUGUUCAGAUUUACAGCCAUCACUUAAAUCUUCUUCAGAUUCAUUACCGUCAGUAACGUCUUUUUCAUAUUCACAGUCAUCACUUACAUCUUCUUCCUUAGAAUUGAACAUCUGUUGUAUCCAUGUAUUCAGAUCAUCUACUUUCACCUCAUCAUCAUAGUUCACACUUUCGAGACUCGGUGUGCUCACAGAACCGAGGCCAAACGUCUUCAUUGAAGGGCAGCUAUAAAUAAACACUUUCCUGAGAAAUGGAAAUUCAAGAGCAUGCUUCGUCUGAAAGAAAUGCCCCAGCUUUGGCAGAUCGUAAAGAUCCAGCUGUUCUAACCGGGGAAAUAAGGGCCCAUUAGUCAUAUUUUCUCCUUGUUCCUCUUCUG
RNAcentral lists this unclassified non-coding RNA (612 nucleotides) under Hevea brasiliensis (rubber tree). The record is from RNAcentral. Lineage: Eukaryota; Viridiplantae; Streptophyta; Magnoliopsida; Malpighiales; Euphorbiaceae.